AACGAACGCUGGCGGCAUGCCUAACACAUGCAAGUCGAACGAUGCCUCCGGGCAUAGUGGCGCACGGGUGCGUAACGCGUGGGAAUCUGCCCUUGGGUUCGGAAUAACUCGCCGAAAGGCGAGCUAAUACCGGAUGAUGACGUAAGUCCAAAGAUUUAUCGCCCAAGGAUGAGCCCGCGUAGGAUUAGCUAGUUGGUGGGGUAAAGGCACACCAAGGCGACGAUCCUUAGCUGGUCUGAGAGUAUGAUCAGCCACACUGGGACUGAGACACGGCCCAGACUCCUACGGGAGGCAGCAGUGGGGAAUAUUGGACAAUGGGCGAAAGCCUGAUCCAGCAAUGCCGCGUGAGUGAUGAAGGCCUUAGGGUUGUAAAGCUCUUUUACCCGGGAUGAUAAUGACAGUACCGGGAGAAUAAGCUCCGGCUAACUCCGUG
Molecule: ribosomal RNA, 433 nt
Filed under: uncultured bacterium
Lineage: Bacteria
Description: partial 16S ribosomal RNA
Rfam family: Bacterial small subunit ribosomal RNA
Source: RNAcentral